AAUUUUUGUUUUUUCUAAGGAAAAACCCUAAAGUGAAUAGGAGAAAACGAGAGGAAUGAGGAAGAGCGUUGAGGAAGAAGAGCAAAAACAGAAAGAAAUCCGUUUCCCUCAUCUUGUCAUCCUCAAUGCUUUACAGAUGAAACUAAGACACAUGGCCCUGGUGCCCAGUCUGCACUCCUUGCUCUUGCUCGUUCUGGAAAGAGAAUUGGUCGUAUGGGUAACUUUUCUAGAUGAUAAUGAUCAGUUCUUGUUGGCUAGAUUGAAGAAUAAGACAUCUUGGUGGCUUCCUAGUUCAUGUAUAUCAGGGGCCUCAGCUUGUUUUUUUUCCCCCCUUAUUUCUUUCAAGUUGGAGGCCAUGGCUUCUGCUAGUGGACAUCAUAUAUAGUCCCAUCCUUGGCGGACAUAAAACUUAUUGACCUCAUGUUUAUAUCAUAUAUAGGGGCAGAUAAAAGUCUAGGCAAUAUCUAUUGUUGCGAGAUAAUGGCACACUGAUCUAUUAUCUUCCUAGGUGUCUUCCUAGAAGAUUACCUGAUCAAGUUGGUACCAAUAUUUGUCUCGUCAACAAUAACCAUGGAAUGGUUCUGACCACAAGCAACACUAAAGAGAAGAAUCCUCCAUCAGCAUGACCAGCAUGUACAAUUGAAACUUAUGGUAUGACAUAAAUGUAUUGAAUAAAAGAGAACAGAGCAGCCAGGGCCUCCAGUGAAUUAAAGCAUAACAGGGUAUUCAGAAGGUCUUCUCGUCAACUCAACAGAAUAGUAGAACCCAACCCCAAAUGAGAACGGACCCAUUCUCCGAUUCAUAUAAAAAAUUAACAGAAAGUACAUCAAAAUUGACAAAACUUAGAAGACCCAAUGCCAUGAAUCCUGAUAGUUAUAGAACCAAGAGAUAAACUACAAUAUUAACAGGUCUAAAUUCAAACUUUCAAUAGCAAAAUAUCAGUUCAUCCACCUCCAAAAUUACAUCAAAUUCACAAACUCAGCAAGACCCCGAUGGUAAAAUAAUAGUAAAGAACCCAAAUCGAGUCUCAUCACACUACAAAAAAAGAAUUGUUUUGGCUUCGGAAGUUUGCGUUAGCAAACCUUUGCCGUCGCCAAUGAUCGCUCUAUUGCGUCGGCAAAAUUUUGCCGUCGCAAAAAUAUAUUGAGUUUGCAACGGUGACGAUGUGCGGUCGCACUGGCGGUCGCCAAACUAUCUUCUUUUACAUCGGCAAAAUAUAGCCGUCGUAAGGAAUUGAAAUUUCGCGACUGCAUCAGCUCUGCCGUCGCGUUGUGACGGAGGCUGCUGUUCCAAGUCACAUUUCUUUUUAUCGAGAGGAAAAAUAGUCUUUGAACUUCCCCUCUCUUCGAUAAAAAAAGCCCUUACUCCCUCUUUCUUCUCUCGUGUGCAUUUCGAUCUGACCCAUUCCCGCUCCAUUCUGUUUAGAUUUUCCCCUUCAUCUCUUUGUUUGUCAUCUCUCUCGAUCUGACCAAUUCGCCGCUGAAUCUGCAAGCGCCUUUCUUGGGUAAGGUCAGAAUUUCUUCACCAUAUUUCUAUCAAAUCCGGCCACUUCACCAGUAGAUCUACCAACCAAAAUGUUUCUAUUAACUUCCUAUGUAAACCCAGCAAAAGAUCGAGGGAAGAAGAAAGGAAAAGGUGAGAUCUGAUUACAUCUGAUCAACUGGAUUUUAUUAUUUUUACUUCUGAUUUGUUUGGGUCACUGUGAAUAUCGACGCGGCGACGACGAAUCACGUGGGCGGGAAGUCCGGAAUCGCUGACCGGACCAGGAUAUCUGUGGUUUAUAUAAACCAAGGUAUUCAUGAUAUUAUAACAUGGUAUUUGUGGUUUAUAUCUGCUUCUGCUUCUCUUCUUCUGCAGGCUUUAGGUACUUCAAAGGCUGGUGGACCAAUUCCCUCCUUUAAAAGCAUUUCAUUUUGUCCUUGACGACAUUGAUGAGGUAUGGCAUUGUAAUCUCAUCUUUUGUUACUUUGGAUCAUUGUUUGUUGCCACUUAGAACCUAUUCGUUCAGUAAUAGUAAGAAAAGUUAGGGGAUUCAUUUAUUUGUAUAAAACUAAAACUAAAUCACGAGAAAGAGAGAGGGGGCUAUCUUCUUAGACGGCCCUAAACGCAUUUUCCUCGAAUUUUCUUCCUCUGUUUUUCUCUCACUCGUUGAUCUUCAUAUACAGAGGGUUCUUUGUUUGUUUGUUUGUUUGAUUUGAUUGUCAAUACCCAAGUCAAGGCUUUGUUCUUUCUGUUCGUUUCUGGGUAUGUUGUUCCAUCUUUUUACUUGAUGAAUGAGUUCUGGUUGUUGUGUUUUGAGUUGAAAGUUGUGAUUUUUGAUCAGAAGUUUAUGUUUAGUUGGUCAAAGAUUGAGUUUUUAAGUUGUUUUGGAAUAUGAUAAUCUGUUAUGUUUGCAUCCCAACUGGUUUAGUUGGUCAAAGAUUGAGUUUUUAAGUUCUUUGGGAAUAUGGUAGUCUAUUUUGUUUGCAUCCCAAAUCAUUUAUGGGGUGAAGUUAGUUGAUUUCUGUUUCAAAGAUUGAUUUUUUGUCAGUUAUUUCGAUGUGGUUUUGUUGGUGUUGGGUUUGUUAGAAGAUAGCAAUCAGUUUUUUCAGUGUAUGUAGUCUCAUCUAUUAAUUUAUGGAUGUUUCUGUGGUGGAAUUUUGUAGGUUUUCUUGAUCCUGGUAGGUCUGGUUUCAAUUGUUUCAUGAAAUAUGUGCAUUUUGUUGUAAAUAUUUGUGGAUAAUCAUGUAAAUAGAUGUUGAGUAAUAGGUGUCUAUCCCUAUAGAUUGGUGAUUGAUAGGUUGUAAUUGUAGGAGUGAUUAGAUUGUAAUCAAGCAUUACCCUUUUGUGUACACCAUGUAGUCCUAUAUAAGGCUCCUCAUGGUGAGAUGAAUAAUACACACAUUCUAUUCUCUACGUCUAUACUCUCUCUCUCUCUCAAAUUCGUUUACUAUAGUUUUACAACACGUUAUCAGCACGAUACUCUAACCCAAGCCCUAGCCAGGAAAAAAACCCGCCCCCUGCUGCAGCCUGUUUGAACGCCCCGAAACCUCUUGAUCGGGACCUCAGAUCAAAAUCUUUCCUUCAUCAAAGUUCUUCGUCUCUGCCUCUUCUAUCUGACCUCCAAAUUUCAGCCCUAUUGGAAUCGUUUUGAGACCUGUACACCAUUCGAAGUGGGAGCUGUUCAGAAGAGAAUCUGCUCCGUGUUCACGACUAGCUCUAAGAUUUGGAUCGAAUAGCUUUGAGAUUCGGGAUUUCCUACUAGAAGAGGUGAAUAUCUCUUGGAUUGGCUGAGAAGACGACCUUCUCAAUUCUGCACACAUAAGCUAAAGAUUCAUCCGUCCUUCAUCAAGUAAUGUUUUCCAAAACCUAAUUUUAUAUUCAUGCUUAUUGAGCCUAUUGAUUGAAUAUGAAAAAUCACCAUAAUGCAUGAACCCAAGCAAGUCCUACAUGAUUUAUUUACUUGGUAUACGUAUUUGUAUAUAUUUGUUCAUGUGUUUGGGAUUGUUUGAUUGGGAAAGAAAAGAGAAAAAUUUAUGGACUGCAACUAUA
This is a long non-coding RNA of Rosa rugosa (rugosa rose), 3531 nucleotides long. RefSeq lists it as uncharacterized. Lineage: Eukaryota; Viridiplantae; Streptophyta; Magnoliopsida; Rosales; Rosaceae. The transcript has 2 exons. The record is from RefSeq and is a predicted model, not a curated record.